Molecule: ribosomal RNA, 505 nt
Filed under: uncultured bacterium
Lineage: Bacteria
Description: partial 16S ribosomal RNA
Rfam family: Bacterial small subunit ribosomal RNA
Source: RNAcentral
GAUGAACGCUAGCUACAGGCUUAACACAUGCAAGUCGAGGGGUAACGAGAGGGAAGCUUGCUUUCCUUGUCGACGACCGGCGCACGGGUGCGUAACGCGUAUCCCAACUGCCCCCAACUAGGGAAUAACCUUUCGAAAGUAAGACUAAUACCCUAUAAUUUCCUAAGAUGUCAUCUGACGAGGAAUAAAGAUUUAUCGUGUGUGGAUGGGGAUGCGUCUGAUUAGCUUGUUGGCGGGGUAAAGGCCCACCAAGGCAACGACAAGUUGGGGUUCUGAGAGGAAGGUCCCCCACGUUGAAACUGAGACACGGUCCAAACUCCUACGGGAGGCAGCAGUGAGGAAUAUUGGACAAUGGGCGGAAGCCUGAACCAGCCAAGUAGCGUGCAGGAUGACGGCCUAUGGGUUGUAAACUGCUUUUAUACAGGAAAAAAGUUAGCCACGUGGGGUUAUUUGUAGGUACUGUAUGAAUAAGGACCGGCUAAUUCCGUGCCAGCAGCCGCCGUAA